This 617-nucleotide small RNA is filed under the name Pongo abelii (Sumatran orangutan). RNAcentral describes it as "processed transcript". Lineage: Eukaryota; Metazoa; Chordata; Mammalia; Primates; Hominidae. The record is from RNAcentral.
ACCUCACGACCUGUGUCAGCAGAGCUGCCCUGCACCGCCAUGUGCAUCAUCUUCUUUAAGUUUGAUCCUCGCCCUGUUUCCAAAAACACGUACAGGCUCAUCUUGGCAGCCAACAGGGACGAAUUCUAUAGCCGACCCUCCAAGUUAGCUGACUUCUGGGGGAACAACAACGAGAUCCUCAGUGGGCUGGACAUGGAGGAAGGCAAGGAAGGAGGCACAUGGCUGGGCAUCAGCACACGUGGCAAGCUGGCAGCGCUCACCAACUACCUGCAGCCGCAGCUGGACUGGCAGGCCCGAGGGCGAGGUGAACUUGUCACCCACUUUCUGACCACUGACGUGGACAGCUUGUCCUACCUGAAGAAGGUCUCUAUGGAGGGCCAUCUGUACAAUGGCUUCAACCUCAUAGCAGCCGACCUGAGGCACCUACGGGCUGAGCAAUGCGCUGCUGGAGACGCCCUGGAGGAAGCUGUGCUUUGGGAAGCAGCUCUUCCUGGAGGCUGUGGAACGGAGCCAGGCGCUGCCCAAGGAUAUGCUCAUCGCCAGCCUCCUGGAUGUGCUCAACAAUGAAGAGGCAGCUGCCAGACCCGGCCAUCGAGGACCAGGGCGGGGAGUACGUG